CUGACAUGUCGGGACUUGAAGAAAUGGAAUUUACGAUAAGAGGGGACUUGGAAGAGAUGCCGCAUUCCUGUUUCUUUUUGUUGAAUACACUGGAAAAAUGCCAGUUCGGUGCAAUUAUCUUGAAAAUAAUAGAAAACCAACACACAUAUUUGAUUUCAUUAAACCUCAGGCAUUUUGGAGCUCUUGCUAAAGUGGCAAUUUACAAAUAUGUGAGAGAAAAAUGAAGAACUGAAAGAACCACAAUCUUAGUAUAAAAGAAUUAAUACUUUUUUUAAUGUUGCCCUUUUACUCAUAUAAAAUAAAUAUGGCUGACUCUGUACUGUAGUACACAGGGCACUUUUUUUUUAAAGGGGAACUCCAAACCAAAGUUUGUUAAAGAGCCCCACACAGCACAGAAACCCCUGAUAUACCCUAAUAUCUCUGUAAUUUGUCCCUUCAAAG
This is a long non-coding RNA of Xenopus tropicalis (tropical clawed frog), 441 nucleotides long. RefSeq lists it as uncharacterized. Lineage: Eukaryota; Metazoa; Chordata; Amphibia; Anura; Pipidae. The record is from RefSeq and is a predicted model, not a curated record. The transcript has 2 exons.